AAUAACUGCUUAGAUAUCUCAUAUCUAGCAGUCCUACUCUGUUUCCCAUAAAGCUUUUUUAAAUUGAGCAAUAUGGAAUGAGUGUCCAUGCUAUCAUGCUGCCUCUGCAACUCAUUUGUCAUAGAGGCAAGUAUGAUACACUUGACAGUUAAAGAAUCAUUUUGCCACAUCCUAUAUGUGGCUUUUUCUUCCUCUGUGGCAUCCUCCCCAACUGGCUCAAUGUCAGGGGUAUCAAGGAUGUAAGAAAGCUUCUCUUGACUAAGUACUAUUUUAAGAUUUCUCAACCAGUCCACAUAGUUGGGACCAGUCAAUUUAUUUGUAUCCAAAAUGGAGUGAAGUGAAAGUGAAGAAGCCAUUAAUCUACA
This 365-nucleotide long non-coding RNA is filed under the name Elaeis guineensis (African oil palm). RNAcentral describes it as "long non-coding RNA (EGUI_LNC081884)". Lineage: Eukaryota; Viridiplantae; Streptophyta; Magnoliopsida; Arecales; Arecaceae. The record is from RNAcentral.